Molecule: ribosomal RNA, 424 nt
Filed under: uncultured bacterium
Lineage: Bacteria
Description: partial 16S ribosomal RNA
Rfam family: Bacterial small subunit ribosomal RNA
Source: RNAcentral
AAUUUUGGACAAUGGGCGCAAGCCUGAUCCAGCCAUGCCGCGUGUGUGAAGAAGGCCUCCGGGUUGUAUAGCUCUUUCGUACGGAGGGAAAUCGCGCAGGCUAAUACCCUGCGCGGAGGAAGGUACCGCCAUAAGAAGCACAGCCUAAUUACGUGCCAGCAGCCGCGGUAAUACGUAGGGUGCGAGCGUUAAUCGGAAUUACUGGGCGUAAAGCGUGCGCGGGCGGUUGAUUAAAACAGGCGUGAAAUCCCCGGGCUUAACCUGGGAACUGCGCUUGUGACUGGUCAGCUAGAGUACGGCAGAGGGGGGUGGAAUUCCACGUGUAGCAGUGAAAUGCGUAGGGAUGUAGAGGAACACCGAUGGCGAAGGCAGCCCCCUGGGCCGAUACUGACGCUCAUGCACGAAAGCGUGGGUAGCAAACAGG